RNAcentral lists this long non-coding RNA (502 nucleotides) under Rattus norvegicus (Norway rat). RNAcentral describes it as "long non-coding RNA NONRATT014540". Lineage: Eukaryota; Metazoa; Chordata; Mammalia; Rodentia; Muridae. The record is from RNAcentral.
UUUGUUUUACAUGACAAGGCGGCAGAAGAAUAGAGCAUUUUGCUAUUUUUGUAACUCUGUUCAGAAGUUACCAAUCUGUGCACAGUGUGGUAAGUACACAGCCAUGAAGGCAUGUCUUUAUCAAUCAAGUGUCUGCGUGGCAGUCACCAAGUCUAGGAGGAGCUGUUCCCAAUUCAAAAUAAAACCCAGUGGUAUUUCUGAGAGAGGAAAUCAUGGUGUUUCCUAAGUAGCCUCCACAGGCUCUCAGUCUACUAGCAGGUCUGAUGAGAAGACACACUUACACUGAGUGUGCAGUUUUUGCCAGGUCUCCCCGUCUUGACAUUUCUGCUGUGUCUUCAUGGAGACUUGCCUUAGGCAACCUAGUCAGCUUUACUCCAGACAUACUGCAAGCUUCUCUGCACGAGCAAGUCGUACCUCUACUUAGAUGGGGAUGGGUUCAACUGGAGCCGGUUGGGGGUGUCAUUGAUGUGCUGCAGGUUAGUGGUUAGGGCUACAUGUGGGA